Non-coding RNA from Pelobates cultripes (western spadefoot toad), 252 nucleotides. The record is from the annotation of a GenBank genome assembly. Lineage: Eukaryota; Metazoa; Chordata; Amphibia; Anura; Pelobatidae.
CUUUAAUCACUUGUUGUCCUUCAGUGUUCGUCUCUCCUUUCUCCCAGCCGGUAUCCAUUCACCUGUUGAUGGGAAAAAGAACGGAAGUGCGUUCAACCAUGCACUUCCGUGCGUUCCAUUGGUAAUAUCCCAUAUGUUGCAGGGGCCGAUAUGGCUGUGCGUUCCACCAUUGGAUAUAAUAUCAUUGCAUUUGUCCUCUGGUGGUGGCCAGGAGAAAUACAUGGUACUAACUUACAAGAAUGGAAAAGCAAU